GAUGAACGCUAGCUACAGGCUUAACACGUGCAAGUCGAGGGGCAGCAUGACGAUAGCUUGCUAUUGUUGAUGGCGACCGGCGCACGGGUGAGUAACGCGUAUCCAACCUGCCCUUGUCCACCGGAUAACCCGUCGAAAGGCGGACUAACACGGUAUGCAGUCCACAGCAGACAUCUAACGUGGACGAAAUGUGAAGGAGAAGGAUGGGGAUGCGUCUGAUUAACUUGUUGGCGGGGUAACGGCCCAACAAGGCGACGAUCAGUAGGGGUUCUGAGAGGAAGGUCCCCCACAUUGGAACUGAGACACGGUCCAAACUCCUACGGGAGGCAGCAGUGAGGAAUAUUGGUCAAUGGGCGAGAGCCUGAACCAGCCAAGUAGCGUGCAGGAAGACGGCCCUAUGGGUUGUAAACUGCUUUUAUACGGGGAUAAAGUGAGUCACGUGUGGCUUAUUGCAGGUACCGUAUGAAUAAGGACCGGCUAAUUCCGUGCCAGCCGCCGCAGUAA
RNAcentral lists this ribosomal RNA (504 nucleotides) under uncultured bacterium. RNAcentral's name for it is "partial 16S ribosomal RNA". It matches the Rfam family "Bacterial small subunit ribosomal RNA", at positions 28 to 523 of the family's 1533-position model. The record is from RNAcentral.